ACGGAUCUAAGCAGAAAUGCAGUUUCUUUUAAAGUGAAUCAAUCAGACUGAUCAGACAAAUGAAGGGGGGUUUGUUACCACAGUGGUGUUGACUGUAACAGUAGUCUGGAACACAAAAACAAGCAGACGUCACCCUCUAACCUUCAGUCGCAUGAGUUUCAGGCUGGUCGUGGACUCUCACCUGCCUCGGUGGAUGACGCGGCGGUCAGCAGCAGCAGCAGCGGCGCGACGGUCCACAUCGCCGCGUCCCGGAGGAUGCUGAGGUCUGAUCGGUGAACUGUGGCAUCGCCAGAGCGGUGGUCUUUCCUGAUCAACAGGCUCAUUGAUGCAAAGAGGGCGCCGAGCACCCCCGCCGCCCCCACCCUCCACCUCUCUGCUUCUGCCAGCAGAUGCCCAGUGACUAGCAACAAGACCCAUUCAUCUCAUGGGAAAGUCGGAGGAUGCUGAACUGAAUACAUAUGAUUCAGGCUGUACAUCCUCCACAUAGAUCUGCAUUUGAGAGAUCUGUUCCUUUUUCAUGGUUGAGAUAAAUUGAUUUUAAAGUGUGAAUCUAGCCUCUCAAAUGCCACACGUCUGGAUUUAACAGAUGAGUGGCUCCGUCACAACUUGACCUCUGAGAACAAAGCCUCUUUUCUCCGCCGACAAUCCUCCACAGCUGGGUAUCACUGUCCCCGCUCCGCCCGCCGCCUUAUGAGUCACGGCGAGGCGCUCCUUUCAACCGCUCCACGCCUGCGGUCGCUCGCCGGCUCAACGUUUUUCGGGGAUUUCUCCACUUUGAUGUUGACAUUUGGUCACUCUGCAGGUGAAGGAGUUUUCUGCCAAACUCAUAAAAGACCUCGAUUGUUGGAAGUUCAGUCACUUUAACAAAUAAAAACAGACAAACCAGAAAUUAAAGCAUCUUGUUUUUUAAUUUCAAAGGCUAUCAAAUGAGACAAUAAAAUUCAUUUAGCAUUAGUUGUUUUUACAUUUAAAACAUCCCAAACCGCUCUCAGAAAAAUGAGUCUUUACACCACAGGCUAGAAAUCCGUUUGGGUGGAGAGAGCAGGUUUCAGUUCAUGAGGAGAUGCUGAACUUCUGAGCUUUUUAACAGCCAAAGAUGCUUCAACCGAAAAAAAAAAAAAAAUGAAAAAGACAAGUCUCUGCAUGCCAAAAGAUAAAAACAUGCACAGAAAUGUCCAAAAUAAAAAAAUGGGAGAAAAACCAAACUUGUUGUGCUUUUGUGUGUGGUUCUGAAUGUUUAAAAGCACACAUGCACACUUGUUUAUUGGGUAAUCCACUGCGGAUUGUCGAUGCAAAAAAAAAAAAAAA
Molecule: long non-coding RNA, 1308 nt
Organism: Oryzias melastigma (Indian medaka)
Lineage: Eukaryota; Metazoa; Chordata; Actinopteri; Beloniformes; Adrianichthyidae
Exons: 2
Source: RefSeq, a predicted model, not a curated record